UACAGAGGGGGCAAGCGUUGUUCGGAAUUACUGGGCGUAAAGGGCGCGUAGGCGGCCUGCUAAGUCGAACGUGAAAUCCCCAGGCUUAACCUGGGAACUGCGUCGGAUACUGGUUGGCUUGAAUCCGGGAGAGGGAUGCGGAAUUCCAGGUGUAGCGGUGAAAUGCGUAGAUAUCAGGAAGAACACCCGUGGCGAAGGCGGCUCUCUGGGACGGUACUGACGCUGAGACGCGAAAGCGUGGGGAGCGAACAGG
RNAcentral lists this ribosomal RNA (253 nucleotides) under uncultured bacterium. RNAcentral describes it as "partial 16S ribosomal RNA". It matches the Rfam family "Bacterial small subunit ribosomal RNA", at positions 524 to 776 of the family's 1533-position model. The record is from RNAcentral.